RNAcentral lists this transfer RNA (74 nucleotides) under Verrucomicrobiota bacterium. RNAcentral's name for it is "Verrucomicrobia bacterium (activated sludge metagenome) tRNA-Gln". It matches the Rfam family "tRNA". Rfam says of the family: Transfer RNA (tRNA) molecules are approximately 80 nucleotides in length. Their secondary structure includes four short double-helical elements and three loops (D, anti-codon, and T loops). Lineage: Bacteria; Pseudomonadati; Verrucomicrobiota. The record is from RNAcentral.
UGGCCGAUGGUGUAAUGGUAACACAGGGGUCUUUGGAGCCCUUAGUCAUGGUUCGAAUCCAUGUCGGCCAGCCA